Oreochromis aureus is the source of this 2088-nucleotide long non-coding RNA. RefSeq lists it as uncharacterized. NCBI's taxonomy places the organism in Eukaryota, Metazoa, Chordata, Actinopteri, Cichliformes, Cichlidae. The transcript has 7 exons. The record is from RefSeq and is a predicted model, not a curated record.
CAUGAGAAUCUGUCGUCAGCAGGAGGAGAGACAACUUACUGAAAGUCAGUUUAUUCCUCUACAUCUCAAAUUAAUUUUUACUGCAUCUGCACACAAUGUACUCAGAGUUCUUUAAAUAAUGAGAUAUAUUAUAGGAGUAUUAUACUUAUACACAGCAAUGCAGGUUACAUACUUUUUAUGUUAUAUCAUCACAUUUCUGCAGUGAUUUCAAAUGUAAUGCAGUAUGAGUACUGCACUCAAAUACAGAUUACAUCGACUUUAACUUCCCCCCUUAUUACUUUUAUAGUUACUUCUUACUAAAUAAUACUUUUUGUUUUAUGAAGUAGGUUUUGUAGUUUUUUUGUCCACAUCACACUUGAUUCUUUUAUUGAUUCCUAAUCAGUUUUCAUUGUGGAAUAAUUCAACCCACAAAGACUUUGAGCGUCCACAGAGCACUUUUAAUCCUCCGAGUGUGAACGAGCUGUCAGACAGAGCAAAGCAAUGCAAACACUACCCUCCAAUGAGUCCCACGUCACUGUUUUGGAAUCUGCAGCUGUGAAAAAAAACAGAAACUGAAUGAAGAGAUCUGGGAAGAUGUGAAAGCUGAAAAGCUGCUGAGAAAUCCAGGAAAGAAAAUGUGAGAGGAGAGUACGCAAUACUGCGUAACUUAGCGUCCUGUCCUUACCUGAGGAUAAGAGCUGGCAGCAGGGAUUCCAGUCAUCAGCAUCAGCAGACAUCCAGUGAACAUGAACACUAGGAACUGCAGAGAGGCUCCCAGCACAGCGAUCAUCAUGGUGAUGACACCAACAAUGUGGAGAAUAAAGAGUUGGGUGGUGCGACCCUCAAGCUGUAGACAGAAGUGUCAUGAAAAGAACUGGCACCACAGAGCGAGGAGGAUGACCACUCCACCAACAAUCUGAACAAACACAAACAGUCUGGUUAGAGCUGCUGCAUCCUUUAAACACAACCAGGACAUGACAUGACUGCACAACAACAAACUCUGAAAGUGGAUUGCGGAAACGUGUGGAGGGAGCAGCACACUGUUGUACACAUGCACCAAGGAGGACAAAACAUCACCACGUAUCAAGGAGAAGAAUCACAGCACGGGGACUGGGAAUCCACGCACUGUGGAUUGUUGGCACUGCUUCAUAGUUUCUUUUCAUUGUAAAUAAACACACUUUUUCCAUUCAGAAAAUUAUGCAUUUGGGUCGUCCUUCAACCAUCCUUGACAAUUGUCUAAUCAAAGAUCAUUUCAUCUGAGCAGAUUUGCAAACCAACACUCCUGUGCACACACGGCAUAGUUGGUAACCUGACCCAAUUUUGGCCCUCGGUCUUAUGUUUCACAUCGCUGCUCUCAGACUAGCACAAUGUUUGAUGUAAAACCAAUUCAUCUAACUGAGGAUAUUAGUGUUGCAGAGUAUAGCGUGGUGGAAACGAAUGGAGAGAAUCCUCCACUAAACUUUUGGAUUGGCAUUACUUUUGAUUUUUUUUUUUAAUAUUAAUGGCAUGCUUUAGUGUUUUUAGUGUCUUGUGUGAGGUGUGGGCCACACCCAUGUGGGAGUGGAGAUUCUACUCUAGUCCAGCUGCCAGCUAUUUGGAGUUGAGUACAGGGAGCAGCUGAUUGGGAAGGAUUGGAGCCCUUCUCUAUAAAGGGGAGAGGAAGUAGGAAGGGGGGAGGUUGUUGUUUUGUUAGUAGGACACUGUUGCAGCAGGGAAGCCUUGGAGACUCCAGGAUGAAGAGUGCACAUUUUAACCUCGCUUGGUUUUGCUUUUAAAAUAAUCUGGUGAUGCUGGAGGGAGGACUUGUUUUAAUUAGGAUUCGUGUGGAUCUGCUGGGAUAAAAACACUGGAUUGGAGGCUCUCUGUGUCCAUGGAAAGGAAACUGGCCAAGAUUUAGAGAAGUUUCAGCUUGAGAGUGGAAGCCCCAGGAUCUGGUGUGGAGACCCAUCCUUGAACAACGCCAGGCCUGAAAAUGCUGGCAACCCUGACUGCGGUGGCUUUGGGCCUUGGAUUCCAGCCCGGAGUUGGGCCUUGACCCAGUAGUUUGACUCGGAGGGAAAAAAAAUAAAUCUUGUGUACCCCGUGCAGUGUGAGUGUGGUGGUUUCUUA